GAUGAACGCUGGCGGCGUGCCUAAUACAUGCAAGUCGAGCGAACAGAUAAGGAGCUUGCUCCUUUGACGUUAGCGGCGGACGGGUGAGUAACACGUGGAUAACCUACCUAUAAGACUGGGAUAACUUCGGGAAACCGGAGCUAAUACCGGAUAACAUAUUGAACCGCAUGGUUCAAUAGUGAAAGGCGGCUUUGCUGUCACUUAUAGAUGGAUCCGCGCCGUAUUAGCUAGUUGGUAAGGUAACGGCUUACCAAGGCAACGAUACGUAGCCGACCUGAGAGGGUGAUCGGCCACACUGGAACUGAGACACGGUCCAGGCUCCUACGGGAGGCAGCAGUAGGGAAUCUUCCGCAAUGGGCGAAAGCCUGACGGAGCAACGCCGCGUGAGUGAUGAAGGUCUUCGGAUCGUAAAACUCUGUUAUCAGGGAAGAACAAAUGUGUAAGUAACUGUGCACAUCUUGACGGUACCUGAUCAGAAAGCCACGGCUAACUACGUG
This 497-nucleotide ribosomal RNA is filed under the name uncultured bacterium. RNAcentral describes it as "partial 16S ribosomal RNA". It matches the Rfam family "Bacterial small subunit ribosomal RNA", at positions 28 to 507 of the family's 1533-position model. The record is from RNAcentral.